This 458-nucleotide ribosomal RNA is filed under the name uncultured bacterium. RNAcentral describes it as "partial 16S ribosomal RNA". It matches the Rfam family "Bacterial small subunit ribosomal RNA", at positions 338 to 795 of the family's 1533-position model. The record is from RNAcentral.
CCUACGGGUGGCAGCAGUGAGGAAUAUUGGUCAAUGGGCGAGAGCCUGAACCAGCCAAGUCGCGUGAGGGAGUACUGCCCUAUGGGUUGUAAACCUCUUUUGUCGGGGAGCAAAAGCCGGACGUGUCCGGCUGUGAGAGUACCCGAAGAAAAAGCAUCGGCUAACUCCGUGCCAGCAGCCGCGGUAAUACGGAGGAUGCGAGCGUUAUCCGGAUUUAUUGGGUUUAAAGGGUGCGCAGGCGGAUUUUUAAGUCAGCGGUAAAAUCGGGGGGCUCAACCCCAUCCAGCCGUUGAAACUGGGGAUCUAGAGUGUGCGAGAGGUAUGCGGAAUGCGUGGUGUAGCGGUGAAAUGCAUAGAUAUCACGCAGAACCCCGAUUGCGAAGGCAGCAUACCGGUGCACAACUGACGCUCAGGCACGAAAGCGUGGGUAUCGAACAGGAUUAGAUACCCCAGUAGUC